RNAcentral lists this ribosomal RNA (408 nucleotides) under uncultured bacterium. Its description in RNAcentral is "bacterial SSU rRNA". It matches the Rfam family "Bacterial small subunit ribosomal RNA", at positions 355 to 775 of the family's 1533-position model. The record is from RNAcentral.
UUGGGAAUAUUGGACAAUGGGCGAAAGCCUGAUCCAGCAAUGCCGCGUGAGUGAUGAAGGCCUUCGGGUCGUAAAGCUCUUUUAGUGGGGACGAAGGGAAACUUGACGGUACCCACAGAAAAAGCACCGGCUAACUCCGUGCCAGCAGCCGCGGUAAUACGGAGGGUGCAAGCGUUGUUCGGAAUCAUUGGGCGUAAAGCGCGUGUAGGCGGCCAUCUAAGUCUGGUGUGAAAGCCUGGGCUUAACCCCAGAAGUGCACUGGAUACUGGGUGGCUAGAGGGCGAGAGAGGAGAUCGGAAUUCAUGGUGUAGGGGUGAAAUCCGUAGAUAUCAUGAGGAACAUCUGUGGCGAAGGCGGAUCUCUGGCUCGCUUCUGACGCUGAGACGCGAAAGCGUGGGGAGCAAACAG